GAUGAAGAACGUAGCGAAAUGCGAUAAGUAAUGUGAAUUGCAGAAUUCAGUGAAUCAUCGAAUCUUUGAACGCACAUUGCGCCCGCUAGUAUUCUGGCGGGCAUGCCUGUCCGAGCGUCAUUUCAACCCUCAAGCCCCCGGGCUUGGUGUUGGGGAUCGGCGAGCCUCCGCGCCCGCCGUCCCCUAAAUCUAGUGGCGGUCUCGCUGUAGCUUCCUCUGCGUAGUAGCACACCUCGCACUGGGAAACAGCGCGGCCACGCCGUUAAACCCCCAACUUCUGAACGUUUGACCUCGGGUCAGGUAGGAAUACCCGCUGAACUUAAGCAUAUCAAUAAGCGGAGGA
This 343-nucleotide unclassified non-coding RNA is filed under the name soil metagenome. RNAcentral describes it as "partial contains 5.8S ribosomal RNA, internal transcribed spacer 2, and large subunit ribosomal RNA". The stretch from base 1 to 120 matches the Rfam family "5.8S ribosomal RNA", at positions 35 to 154 of the family's 154-position model. The record is from RNAcentral.